Molecule: ribosomal RNA, 480 nt
Filed under: uncultured bacterium
Lineage: Bacteria
Description: partial 16S ribosomal RNA
Rfam family: Bacterial small subunit ribosomal RNA
Source: RNAcentral
GAUGAACGCUAGCGGCAGGCCUAAUACAUGCAAGUCGAGGGGUAUGGGUUGCUUGCAACCCAGAAACCGGCGCACGGGUGCGUAACGCGUAUGCAAUCUACCUUAAUCAGGGGGAUAGCCCGGAGAAAUCCGGAUUAACACCGCAUAACAUUGAGUUGUGGCAUCACAGUUCAAUCAAAUAUUUAUAGGAUUAAGAUGAGCAUGCGUGACAUUAGUUAGUUGGUGAGGUAACGGCUCACCAAGACCACGAUGUCUAGGGGAUCUGAGAGGAUGACCCCCCACACUGGUACUGAGACACGGACCAGACUCCUACGGGAGGCAGCAGUAAGGAAUAUUGGUCAAUGGGCGCAAGCCUGAACCAGCCAUGCCGCGUGCAGGAAGACGGCCCUAUGGGUUGUAAACUGCUUUUGUACCGGAAUAAACCUUCUCUUGCGAGAGAAGCUGAACGUACGGUAAGAAUAAGGAUCGGCUAACUCCGUG